GAUGAACGCUAGCGGCAGGCCUAAUACAUGCAAGACGAACGGUAAGUUGAGUAGCAAUACUUAGCCAAGAGUGUCGUACGGGUGCGUAACACGUAUGCAACCUACCCUAUACAGGAGGAUAGCCUAGGGAAACCUGGAUUAACCCUUCAUAGUAUUAUUGGAUGGCAUCAUUUGAUAAUUAAAACUGAGGUGGUAUAGGAUGGGCAUGCGUCUGAUUAGUUAGUUGGCGGGGUAAUGGCCCACCAAGACGAUGAUCAGUAGGGGUUCUGAGAGGAAGAUCCCCCCACACUGGCACUGAGAUACGGGCCAGACUCCUACGGGAGCAGCAGUAGGGAAUAUUGGUCAAUGGAUGCAAGUCUGAACCAGCCAUGCCGCGUGCAGGAAGAAGGCCUUCUGGGUUGUAAACUGCUUUUGCCAGGGGAUAAAAUUUCCAUGCGUGGAAAACUGAAGGUACCUGGUGAAUAAGCCACGGCUAACUACGUGCCAGCAGCCGCGGUAAU
This 500-nucleotide ribosomal RNA is filed under the name uncultured bacterium. Its description in RNAcentral is "bacterial SSU rRNA". It matches the Rfam family "Bacterial small subunit ribosomal RNA", at positions 28 to 524 of the family's 1533-position model. The record is from RNAcentral.